AGGGCACCACCAGGAGUGGAGCCUGCGGCUUAAUUUGACUCAACACGGGAAAACUCACCCGGCCCGGACACUGUAAGGAUUGACAGACUGAGAGCUCUUUCUUAAUUCAGUGGGUGGUGGUGCAUGGCCGUUCUUAGUUGGUGGAGCGAUUUGUCUGGUUAAUUCCGAUAACGAACGAGACCCUGGCCUAUUAAAUAGACGAGGUAUUUACAUGUAUCUCGCGCUUCUUAGAGGGACAAGCGGCGUCUAGUCGCAUGAAAAAGAGCAAUAACAGGUCUGUGAUGCCCUUAGAUGUCCGGGGCCGCACGCGCGCUACACUGAAGUGAUCAGCAUGCGUCCGUUUCCCGCUCCGUCAGGAGUGGGUAACCCCUUGAACCUUCUUCGUGAUAGGGAUUGGGCUUUGUAACUAUCGCCCAUGAACGAGGAAUUCCCAGUAAGUGCGAGUCAUCAGCUUGCAUUGAUUACGUCCCUGCCCUUUGUACACACCGCCCGUCGCUAUUACCGAUUGAAUGAUUUAGU
RNAcentral lists this ribosomal RNA (519 nucleotides) under uncultured eukaryote. RNAcentral's name for it is "bacterial SSU rRNA". It matches the Rfam family "Eukaryotic small subunit ribosomal RNA", at positions 1161 to 1702 of the family's 1831-position model. The record is from RNAcentral.